GGAUCAUUGCUGGAACUGUGUCCGCAAGGACACAACCCCAGAUACCCUUUGUGAACUUAUUCUUAUAUCGUUGCCUCGGCGCUGAGCUGGGGGCUUCUUUCCAAGGAGCUCUCCCAUGGUCUCUCGGGACGAUGGAGCAAGCCCGCCGGCGGCCCUUCUAAACUCUUGUUUUUAUUACGUAUCUCUUCUGAGUUAUUCAAAACAAAAUGAAUCAAAACUUUCAACAACGGAUCUCUUGGUUCUGGCAUCGAUGAAGAACGCAGCGAAAUGCGAUAAGUAAUGUGAAUUGCAGAAUUCAGUGAAUCAUCGAAUCUUUGAACGCACAUUGCGCCCGCUGGAAUUCCAGCGGGCAUGCCUGUUCGAGCGUCAUUUCACCCCUCAAGCCUCGCUUGGUGUUGGAGCACUACCGUUUGUAUAAAGCGGUAGGCUCUGAAAUUCAGUGGCGGGCUCGCUAAGACUCUGAGCGUAGUAGUUUAUCACCUCGCUUUGGAAGGAUUAGCGGUGCUCUUGCCGUAAAACCCCCCAAUUUCUGAAUUUUGACCUC
This 544-nucleotide ribosomal RNA is filed under the name Coniella quercicola. RNAcentral describes it as "eukaryotic LSU rRNA". The stretch from base 216 to 369 matches the Rfam family "5.8S ribosomal RNA". The record is from RNAcentral. Lineage: Eukaryota; Fungi; Ascomycota; Sordariomycetes; Diaporthales; Schizoparmaceae.